UAUCUGCACUAGAGACACGCUGAAGGAAGAUAACCAACAGAAUACUCCACAUCACCCUUUGCUCUGAGAAGGCUGCCAGAUCUUAAAAGGGAAAUUAAAAGCAAGGUAUUGCCAAUGAAAAGAGAAGUCAAGUAACCUGGGUACAGUCCAAAUCCCUGGAUCUGAUGAAUGCAGAGAAAAACUUCAUAGCCAGUCCCUACUACAGUAAAGGAGUAAUCCUCCUUUCUCAACUUCUUGUCCCAGAGAAGGAAGCAAAAACUAAUAUGAAGAACUAAUACAGUACCAGAAGAAGGCUGGGUACAAGCUAUAAAAGGAGAGUGUGAUAUGAUAUCUAUUUUUAGUGGAACAGCUCCUGAUCAGCAGAAGAAACAUAUGAAAGGAUUUUAACAGGCA
This is a long non-coding RNA of Gallus gallus (chicken), 393 nucleotides long. NCBI's taxonomy places the organism in Eukaryota, Metazoa, Chordata, Aves, Galliformes, Phasianidae. The record is from Ensembl.